RNAcentral lists this ribosomal RNA (301 nucleotides) under uncultured bacterium. RNAcentral describes it as "partial 16S ribosomal RNA". It matches the Rfam family "Bacterial small subunit ribosomal RNA", at positions 509 to 807 of the family's 1533-position model. The record is from RNAcentral.
CAGCCGCCACGGUAAAACGUAGGGUGCAAGCGUUAAUCGGAAUUACUGGGCGUAAAGCGUGCGCAGGCGGUUAUAUAAGACAGAUGUGAAAUCCCCGGGCUCAACCUGGGAACUGCAUUUGUGACUGUAUAGCUAGAGUACGGCAGAGGGGGAUGGAAUUCCGCGUGUAGCAGUGAAAUGCGUAGAUAUGCGGAGGAACACCGAUGGCGAAGGCAAUCCCCUGGGCCUGUACUGACGCUCAUGCACGAAAGCGUGGGGAGCAAACAGGAUUAGAUACCCCGGUAGUCCCUGUCUCUUAUAC